UACGUAGGGGGCAAGCGUUGUCCGGAGUUACUGGGCGUAAAGCGCACGCAGGCGGUCUUUUAAGUUUGGAGUGACAGUUGGUGGCUUAACUGCCAAAAGUGCUUCGAAAACUGAGAGACUUGAGGGCUUCAGAGGGACACGGAAUUCCGGGUGGAGUGGUGAAAUGCGUAGAGAUCCGGAGGAACACCAAAGGCGAAGGCAGUGUCCUGGGGAGUACCUGACGCUCAGGUGCGGAAAGCCAGGGGAGCGAACGGG
RNAcentral lists this ribosomal RNA (255 nucleotides) under uncultured bacterium. Its description in RNAcentral is "partial 16S ribosomal RNA". It matches the Rfam family "Bacterial small subunit ribosomal RNA", at positions 524 to 776 of the family's 1533-position model. The record is from RNAcentral.